AACCUCCGCAAUGUGAGAAAUCGCGACGGGGGGAUCCCAAGUGCCAUUCUUAACGGGAUGGCUUUUCUUAAGUGUAAAAAGCUUUUGGAAUAAGAGCUGGGCAAGACCGGUGCCAGCCGCCGCGGUAACACCGGCAGCUCUAGUGGUAGCUGUUUUUAUUGGGCCUAAAGCGUUCGUAGCCGGUUUGAUAAGUCACUGGUGAAAUCCUGUAGCUUAACUGUGGGAAUUGCUGGUGAUACUGUUGAACUUGAGGUCGGGAGAGGUUAGCGGUACUCCCAGGGUAGAGGUGAAAUUCUGUAAUCCUGGGAGGACCACCUGUGGCGAAGGCGGCUAACUGGAACGAACCUGACGGUGAGGGACGAAAGCUAGGGGCGCGAACCGGAUUAGAUACCCGGGUAGUCCUAGCCGUAAACGAUGCGGACUUGGUGUUGGGAUGGCUUUGAGCCGCUCCGGUGCCGAAGGGAAGCUGUUAAGUCCGCCGCCUGGGAGUACGGUCGCAAGACUGAAACUUAAAGGAAUU
RNAcentral lists this ribosomal RNA (520 nucleotides) under uncultured bacterium. RNAcentral describes it as "bacterial SSU rRNA". It matches the Rfam family "Archaeal small subunit ribosomal RNA", at positions 345 to 866 of the family's 1478-position model. The record is from RNAcentral.